CCUACGGGAGGCAGCAGUGAGGAAUAUUGGUCAAUGGACGAGAGUCUGAACCAGCCAAGUAGCGUGAAGGAUGACUGCCCUAUGGGUUGUAAACUUCUUUUAUAUGGGAAUAAAAUGUUCCACGUGUGGGAUUUUGUAUGUACCAUAUGAAUAAGGAUCGGCUAACUCCGUGCCAGCAGCCGCGGUAAUACGGAGGAUCCGAGCGUUAUCCGGAUUUAUUGGGUUUAAAGGGAGCGUAGGUGGAUUGGUAAGUCAGUUGUGAAAGUUUGCGGCUCAACCGUAAAAUUGCAGUUGAAACUGGCAGGCUUGAGUACAGUAGAGGUGGGCGGAAUUCGUGGUGUAGCGGUGAAAUGCUUAGAUAUCACGAAGAACUCCGAUUGCGAAGGCAGCUCACUGGACUGAAACUGACACUGAGGCUCGAAAGUGUGGGUAUCAAACAGGAUUAGAUACCCCAGUAGUC
This 460-nucleotide ribosomal RNA is filed under the name uncultured bacterium. RNAcentral describes it as "partial 16S ribosomal RNA". It matches the Rfam family "Bacterial small subunit ribosomal RNA", at positions 338 to 795 of the family's 1533-position model. The record is from RNAcentral.